Molecule: unclassified non-coding RNA, 173 nt
Filed under: uncultured Cladophialophora
Lineage: Eukaryota; Fungi; Ascomycota; Eurotiomycetes; Chaetothyriales; Herpotrichiellaceae
Description: sequence contains ITS2
Source: RNAcentral
UCACCCCUCAAGCCCUGUGCUUGGUGUUGGACGGCCGGUCGAGCGAUCGACCCCUCCUAAAGACAAUGACGGCGGCCUGUGGUUCCCCCGGUACACUGAGCUUUUCACCGAGCACGUAUCGGACAAGGGCACCCGGGACCCGGUCCUCUCCUUUAGUUAAAGGAAACUUUUAC